UGGGACGCGGUGUAGCAAUACACUGAGUCGCGAACGGCUGAGUAACACGUAAGAACUUACCUUUUGGUGGUGAAUACCUCGUCGAAAGACGAGCUAAUACAGCAUAAGAUCUCCGGAUGAAAGGGCUUUACCGCCCGCCGAAAGAGAGGCUUGCGGUCUAUCAGAUAGUUGGUGGGGUAAUGGCCUACCAAGUCGACGACGGAUAGGGGACGUGAGAGCGUGACCCCUCAGAACGGGACUGAGACACGGCCCGUACACCUACGGGUGGCAGCAACUGGGAAUCGUGCGCAAUGGACGAAAGUCUGACGCCGCGACGCCGCGUGAGGGAUGAAGGCAUUCGUGUCGUAAACCUCUUUUGCCAAGGUCGAGAAGCCUUGGAGAAUAAGCACCGGCUAACUCUGUGCCAGCAGCAGCGGUAAUACAGAGGGUGCAAGCGUUGUCCGGAUUUAUUGGGCGUAAAGAGUUCGUAGGCUUUUUGUUAAGUCAUCUUUCAAAGACCGAGGCUCAACUUCGGGAAGGGGGAUGAUACUGGCAGAAUUGAAAGGUUUCGGGGUUACUGGAACUGUCGGUGUAGGAGUGAAAUCCGUUGAUAUCGACAGGAACACCAAGGGCGAAGGCGGGUAACUAGGAACACUUUGACGCUGAGGGACGAAAGCUAGGGGAGCGAAAGGGAUUAGAGACCCCUGUAGUCCUAGCCGUAAACUAUGUUCGCUAGGGAUGGGAACUUCGGUUUCCGUUCCGUAAGCUAACGCGUGAAGCGAACCGCCUG
RNAcentral lists this ribosomal RNA (769 nucleotides) under uncultured bacterium. RNAcentral's name for it is "bacterial SSU rRNA". It matches the Rfam family "Bacterial small subunit ribosomal RNA", at positions 62 to 875 of the family's 1533-position model. The record is from RNAcentral.